Molecule: ribosomal RNA, 292 nt
Filed under: uncultured bacterium
Lineage: Bacteria
Description: partial 16S ribosomal RNA
Rfam family: Bacterial small subunit ribosomal RNA
Source: RNAcentral
GUGUCAGCCGCCGCGGUAAUACGGAGGGGGCAAGCGUUAUUCGGAAUCAUUGGGCGUAAAGGGCGCGUAGGCGGCUUGGCAAGUCAAAGGUGAAAUCCCUCGGCCUAACCGAGGAACUGCCUUUGAAACUGCUUGGCUUGAGGCCGGGAGAGGGUAGCGGAAUUCCCAGUGUAGCGGUGAAAUGCGUAGAUAUUGGGAGGAACACCAGUGGCGAAGGCGGCUACCUGGACCGGUUCUGACGCUGAGGCGCGAAAGCGUGGGGAGCAAACAGGAUUAGAUACCCCCGUAGUCC